Long non-coding RNA from Neofelis nebulosa (Clouded leopard), 1700 nucleotides. RefSeq lists it as uncharacterized. NCBI's taxonomy places the organism in Eukaryota, Metazoa, Chordata, Mammalia, Carnivora, Felidae. The transcript is spliced from 2 exons. The record is from RefSeq and is a predicted model, not a curated record.
AGUGAGUCAGAGUCAAAAGAAUGAAACUAUUCCCCUUUCUUUAGAGAACUUCUCUUGUCUUGUCUUGUCUUGUCUUGUCUUGUCUUAUUUUAUUUCUAAGUGAUCUCCACACCCAGCGUGGGUCUCAGACCCACAGCCCUGAGAUCAAGAGUCGAAUACUCCACCGACUCAAGCCAGCCAGGUGCCCUGGAGAGAGCUUCUAUUUGCGUUUGUUCUAUGUGCUAGACGUUAUGCUACAUGUAUUAGAUAUCUCAUGCCAUCUAAAAUCUUUUACAUAGCCAACUUUUGAUGAAUUUGUUUUUUAAAAAAAGUUUUAUUCAUUUUUUAAAGUUUAUUUAUUUUGAGAGAGCGAGAGAGCGUGUGCACACAGGUGAGGAAGGGGCAGAGAAAGGGGAGAGAGAGAAUUCCCAGCGGGCUCCGAGCUGUCAGCCCAGAGCCCCAUGCAGGGCUCUGUCACUGUGAGAUCAUGACCUGAGCCAAGAUCAAGAGUUGGAUGCUUAACCGACUCAACCACCCAGGCUCCCAUGAUGAAUUUGUUUUUGUGAGAAUAUUUAGGGGCAGUGUUUCCAUGUGUCAAUGUAGAACAACGGAUGACAGAAUUGCUAAUCACAACUCUUCUUAUGUACCAUGUCAGGUGCCCUCAAACCCCCACCAUAUCUGGCAUUCUGUGAAUAUAAUUAGGAGUUGAUUCUGUUAAAUAAUUUCCAUGAUACUAAGAAUUCCUGUCUGCCUGGUUCACUGAAACUAUACCUGAUGCACGUUUUUAAGUGCUCAAGUAAUGUUAUUUGAACGAAUAAAGAAUUAGCAAGAAGGCUAUGAUAGAAUUAAUAAUGACCUUAUUCAAUGCAUGUUUAGCAUUCUGUGUUUCAGGGAUUAUGCAGGGCUCUUAAGUUUGUUGAAUGACCAAGUGAAGUAGUGGUAAUUUGGAAAAAUAAUACAAGCAAUUGGGUACUUGGUGCUUUUUGUCUGUAUCUGUUAUCAAAUUUUUGUAUUCCUGUUUGGGGAACUUUAUAUAGUAAAUUUGACUUUACUUGGAUAAAGCUUGUCAAAGACAUUGUUCUCUGUUUCUUAGUUGUAGAAUUAUUUUGUAGUAGCAAGUUAGUUACGGGUCUCAGUAUACCAGAAAUAUAUUGCAUCUGUUAAGUUUCUUAACUACUAUCUUUUUUAUUUUCAAGCAUUAACUCAUUAUAAUUAUUGAAUAAAACUGUAGAUUCUUUAAAGAUACCUUUUACUCAAGGGGAGGUACCAGGCAGGUUGCUGUUACCGCUUCCGGUAACAUUAAUAAGUACAGUGGUGAACCUGUUGACUGCCAGAUGGAGAGUUUGCUUAGACUUAGCACUGGUCAAGUCCACCAGUCCAGACAGCAUGUAUGCUAUAAUGUUAUUUCUAAUUAUAUAUAAAUGUAGACUUUUUCAAAACAGACUUUUGGUAGCUAUGCUCAAUAAUGAGUGUUUCCUUUUUUUUUUUGCAAAAUUAAAAACAAUUAAGCUGUCUUCUUGGGUUAUUAAAAGAUAGAAAUGAAAGGGGAUGAAAAUAGCUAUACUUUAUUUAAAAGAAUGCUGCAGAGGAAAAGCAUUUGUGGGAAAUGCACCUAUGAGUAAAUAUGUAGCCAAAACCAUCUAUACACAGAUUUACUAUAAAUACAAUAUUUAUUUUAUUUGAAUAUACAAUAUCUGAAAUAAUGGAUUCAUGUUUUUUUU